Molecule: long non-coding RNA, 217 nt
Filed under: Manihot esculenta (cassava)
Lineage: Eukaryota; Viridiplantae; Streptophyta; Magnoliopsida; Malpighiales; Euphorbiaceae
Description: long non-coding RNA (MESC_LNC008594)
Source: RNAcentral
CCGAAAGGCCAGCCUUCACAAGCAUGUUCGGCGGCCGAAAGUUCCUUCGGCUGCCGAACCUGGUUUCUCCCAAAUGGCAGAAACUCGACUCCAACAUGCACAACAACCUCCCAAACCUUCUAUCAUGCAUUCUACUCAACCAAAACAUGCAUAGAAACAUACAUCAGCUCCUAGGGGCUUCAAACUAUCUUAAACCCCAACUACAACACAUCAAACA